Molecule: non-coding RNA, 648 nt
Organism: Punica granatum (pomegranate)
Lineage: Eukaryota; Viridiplantae; Streptophyta; Magnoliopsida; Myrtales; Lythraceae
Source: RefSeq, a predicted model, not a curated record
AUCGAAUAGUCACCAACCCGAUAGAGCUAGUAUAGAGCUGUUAAGCUGAAUCCAUCCGAUCAUAUCACACACAAAGAGAGAGAGAGAGAGAGAGAGGUAGAGGAGGAAAGGGGAAUCGAUGAAGAAAGCUGUGGCGUUUACAACAACUACCCCGUCGUUUUUGGCAAUUUGGGUCUUUGUGCUCUCAGUCGUUCUCCUCUGCCUCCUCCAAUUGGCCUCUGCCAGCCGUCUUCUCUCCGAAGAUGUGCACGGAAAUGGAGUUCUCCCGUAUCUAGCUGGUCCGGCAGUUGCACGCAAUCUAGGAGGAGUGGGUGGAAGUCCGUACCGUGGAGAUGGGAAACAUAACCCCUAAAGCUCCAACCAGCUCUGCCGGCACCAUGUCGUACGUGUUCAAUAUCAACUAUGCCCCCAAAGCUAGUAAUAAGAACAUAUAUCACGAAGUUAAAGCAUUCUACUUUGUCUCGCCAGAUGAUGUUUACGACUCUUUUUACACAAUUGUAGUUCUAAGAUCAUGCAAUAAGUGUGACAUCCGAGAAAUUCGUAGUUCUUACGUUCUCGAUUCUACAUGUAAGGAGCUUACAAAUAAGGUUUUCAUUUCUCGCCAUUUUGUAUAAUAUAAAGUGCAAUACAAAAUAACAAGUUGUCUUU